CAAGUAUACAGCUUUGCUUGAAAACAUCUACUUGUGCCUUGCCUAAAAUCUCUUUCCUCCACUUUUCACUGCCUCCCUUCCUCCUCCACCGCUGCUGCUCUAGUUCUGAGGAAUCUUUUGGCAUGGGACGAGUCUUCUAGAUUGUAUUAUUGGGAUUUGAGCUGUCUCUAUUAUAUUUCUAUUCGGCUUGAAAGACCUGGGUGUUAUGUUUGAAAGGAACAAAGGAUUUUUCAUUUUGUGCACAAAUACCCUUUAAUAUCAAAUCUAUUUUACCUGCUG
Molecule: unclassified non-coding RNA, 279 nt
Filed under: Hevea brasiliensis (rubber tree)
Lineage: Eukaryota; Viridiplantae; Streptophyta; Magnoliopsida; Malpighiales; Euphorbiaceae
Source: RNAcentral